This is a long non-coding RNA of Falco peregrinus (peregrine falcon), 2283 nucleotides long. RefSeq lists it as uncharacterized. The record is from RefSeq and is a predicted model, not a curated record. Lineage: Eukaryota; Metazoa; Chordata; Aves; Falconiformes; Falconidae. The transcript has 3 exons.
UUCUGCUUGGAGAUGCCGCUUUUCUGUCCUGUCAGACCACUGUUUCUUUUUCACCAAAACUUUCUGUUGUUCGUUAUAACUGUAUUUCUGCAAAAAUUCUAAUUUAUAUGUAUAUUCAGUAUCUUAAUGUAUUUGAUAAUUAUGCACGUGUUCAAUGUCAACCAUCUUUUCUAUCUGUCUCUGCUUGACCAACAGCUUUGUAAAAAUAACUGGGCUACUUCGAUAAGGUCAGAGCAAUUGAGUAAUACUUGCUAUAUCCUGUUAAUCUGCAUAAUUUCAUCACUGCUUUAUAAUCUUCCCUAUGUGAUGGGUGGCGGGGGGAGAGAAUUUCGCUAACAACAGUAAUCUAUUGAUAGGACUUGGACUAUGGUCUAUUUUUUAAGAACUUAAACCAAGCAUUUAGUGGAAUUCAAGGAGAAUUUGGGUUCCAGAAUGACUUUUAAUAUUGUCAAGAUUUAAUUUGCUCAGAUGUGAUUUCUGAUAGAAAAACUGUUCUUUGUGCAAAUGAGUAUUUGUUUGAAUUUCUUUUAAAACUGAGAAUAAACUGGUGAAUACUCUGAAAGCAUGGGGGAAAACAGAGAAACAGGGUUCAGCUGAGCCACUCAGAAGGUGGCAUAGUACUGUGCCUGGGUUUAGCAGACAUGAGUUACCCCAGGUGUCUUUAGGCAAGUUAUCUGAUCCCUCAGUGGUUCAGUCUGCUCCAUGGUGGGAAUAUAGCUGCUGCGUACCUCAGCAGUGCUUGUGGUAAUAAAUACCUGUAAAGACUGUGAGGUGACAGAGCUGGGUUAGUGUUGCACAAAUGCUCUUACAAGUAGAAAUGAGGACACAGUGAUAGUGUUCAGUUUUCAGCAGCAGAUUUUUUUUUUCCUCUUUCCCACUGGCUCCAAUGCCAGCACAAGCAGAGACGGAAAAAUUUCUCAGAAGUGCCAGCAGAGCAUUAGGAACUGAGCAGCAAGCAGGCUAGCUGGAUAUCAGUCAUGUCAACCGAAGUCUGAGAUUACUGUUUUCCUGUUCAGAAGACUGCCUCUGCAAUAUUUCCUGGCCGAGUAAGGGUGGAAGCCUUGGUCGCACCAGUUUUGACCAGAGUGCAUCUGGAAGUCCAGGUGAGUAUAGGCACAAGCUAAGGAACAGCACGCAAACACAUGGUGGACAUUAUACCAAAGAAAUCAAUUACAAGAUCACGAAGCAGUUGUCUUCUCAUUUCUGAAAUAUCAGCAAACCCUCCUCCGCAAAACUGAAAAUGUUUUGAAUAAUAAAAUGAAAGGUGAGAUUUUUCAGGCUUGGCUGGGGGAACAGCAUGAGUCCUCCCCACUACGAUGAAGAGGGACUGGAUCUCUGCAUCACCUGGGCAGCGCCACUGGGGACAUCAUAGCUGGGACUCUUCAGAUCGUCACAUGCCAAUAAGUGACAGCAGUGGAGGACUUCUGUGAAUGCUGGCCAUGCAUAGAUAGAGAAGGAUCUGUUUCAAAAACAAAAAAGUUCCUGAGCUGGUCUUCUGCGGGUGUCUGAUGGCAGCUUGUUCAAAUGUAAGUCGACACCCUUAGUUAACAGGUCUACCUGAGCGGCAGCGGUAGGACUGAUCCCCAUAACAGGACUUUGUAACGAACGCAUUGGUAGCAUCAUUUCACUGCAGGUUUUAUUACAUGCGAGUACUUACACCACAGUGACUUCCCAUCGCAUGAGGUGUUUGUCUUCUGAGGAUUAGCACAGCGCUGUGCCAUGAAGUCUGGUAUAGCUGAGUAAGUGGUUUAGUGUAAUCCUCCUGAGAAGGAUUGCUGUCCUGAACAGAUUCCUGGGAAGGCUCUGUGCUUGUACCAAGCUUUUAGAUGACUUUCAGUCAGGUUUUUGAGGGGGGGUGUUGGAGUUUCUGCAGCUUUUCUGCGAUGCAGUCUGUCUCCAAGACAUCUGGGCAGUGGCUGCGUCAGCAAAGACCGUCACAGAGCUUAAAGACAGUUGGUAUUGUUGUGUGAAGAAGACCUCAGUGAGUCAUCAGAUGAUCCAAGUAUGACACUGACAGGUGGGCACCCCAGCACAGAAUUCAGACAGGAUCAUGCCUGAACACUUGCGUUUGCUGUUGAUGUCUGGUGUAUAUAUAGAUGCUGAUUCUCAACAUACUCUUGUUUUGCAUUAAGGCACCUUCAGAACAGCAAAUCAUGUUCAGCACCACUCCAGGCAUGCUCUGCAGCAGCAGGGUGAAGAGUGCUGUUGCUGCAGUGCCCAGGCACUUGGAAACCUGUUUCCCAGUGUUUAGAAUAAAGCGCAAGCAGGAGCUCCUCAAAGUCA